CCCUGGUUAAAUCAGUUGGUAGAGCGCUCCACCUGCAAUGGUGAGGUCCCUGGUUCGAUACCAGGACCAGGCU
Non-coding RNA from Ixodes scapularis (black-legged tick), 73 nucleotides. The record is from Rfam. Lineage: Eukaryota; Metazoa; Arthropoda; Arachnida; Ixodida; Ixodidae.